This 301-nucleotide ribosomal RNA is filed under the name uncultured bacterium. RNAcentral's name for it is "partial 16S ribosomal RNA". It matches the Rfam family "Bacterial small subunit ribosomal RNA", at positions 509 to 807 of the family's 1533-position model. The record is from RNAcentral.
CAGCCGCCGCGGUAAUACGAAGGGGGCUAGCGUUGUUCGGAUUUACUGGGCGUAAAGCGCACGUAGGCGGACUUUCAAGUCAGGGGUGAAAUCCCGGGGCUCAACCCCGGAACUGCCUUUGAUACUGGAAGUCUUGAGUAUGGUAGAGGUGAGUGGAAUUCCGAGUGUAGAGGUGAAAUUCGUAGAUAUUCGGAGGAACACCAGUGGCGAAGGCGGCUCACUGGACCAUUACUGACGCUGAGGUGCGAAAGCGUGGGGAGCAAACAGGAUUAGAUACCCCCGUAGUCCCUGUCUCUUAUAC